Molecule: ribosomal RNA, 122 nt
Filed under: Nonomuraea gerenzanensis
Lineage: Bacteria; Bacillati; Actinomycetota; Actinomycetes; Streptosporangiales; Streptosporangiaceae
Source: RNAcentral
GUUACGGCGGUUAUGGCGGGAAGGAAACACCCGGUUACAUUCCGAACCCGGAAGUUAAGCUUCUCUGCGCCGAUGGUACUGCACUCGGGAGGGUGUGGGAGAGUAGGUCACCGCCGGACAAU